GACGAACGCUGGCGGCGUGCUUAACACAUGCAAGUCGAACGGAAAGGCCCUGCUUUUGUGGGGUGCUCGAGUGGCGAACGGGUGAGUAACACGUGAGUAACCUGCCCUUGACUUUGGGAUAACUUCAGGAAACUGGGGCUAAUACCGGAUAGGAGCUCCUGCUGCAUGGUGGGGGUUGGAAAGUUUCGGCGGUUGGGGAUGGACUCGCGGCUUAUCAGCUUGUUGGUGGGGUAGUGGCUUACCAAGGCUUUGACGGGUAGCCGGCCUGAGAGGGUGACCGGCCACAUGGGGACUGAGAUACGGCCCAGACUCCUACGGGAGGCAGCAGUGGGGAAUAUUGCACAAUGGGCGGAAGCCUGAUGCAGCAACGCCGCGUGCGGGAUGACGGCCUUCGGGUUGGAAACCGCUUUCGCCUGUGACGAAGCGUGAGUGACGGUAAUGGGGAAAGAAGCACUGGCUAACUACGU
This 467-nucleotide ribosomal RNA is filed under the name uncultured bacterium. RNAcentral describes it as "partial 16S ribosomal RNA". It matches the Rfam family "Bacterial small subunit ribosomal RNA", at positions 28 to 506 of the family's 1533-position model. The record is from RNAcentral.